GACGAACGCUGGCGGCGUGCCUAAUACAUGCAAGUAGAACGCUGAAGCGAGGAGCUUGCUCUUCUUGGAUGAGUUGCGAACGGGUGAGUAACGCGUAGGUAACCUGCCUGGUAGCGGGGGAUAACUAUUGGAAACGAUAGCUAAUACCGCAUAAAAUGGAUUAUCGCAUGAUAAUCCAUUGAAAGGUGCAAAUGCAUCACUACCAGAUGGACCUGCGUUGUAUUAGCUAGUUGGUGGGGUAACGGCUCACCAAGGCGACGAUACAUAGCCGACCUGAGAGGGUGAUCGGCCACACUGGGACUGAGACACGGCCCAGACUCCUACGGGAGGCAGCAGUAGGGAAUCUUCGGCAAUGGACGGAAGUCUGACCGAGCAACGCCGCGGGAGUGAAGAAGGUUUUCGGAUCGUAAAGCUCUGUUGUAAGAGAAGAACGAGUGUGAGAGUGGAAAGUUCACACUGUGACGGUAUCUUACCAGAAAGAGACGGCUAACUACGUG
This 497-nucleotide ribosomal RNA is filed under the name uncultured bacterium. RNAcentral describes it as "partial 16S ribosomal RNA". It matches the Rfam family "Bacterial small subunit ribosomal RNA", at positions 28 to 507 of the family's 1533-position model. The record is from RNAcentral.